Molecule: ribosomal RNA, 492 nt
Filed under: uncultured bacterium
Lineage: Bacteria
Description: partial 16S ribosomal RNA
Rfam family: Bacterial small subunit ribosomal RNA
Source: RNAcentral
AGUGAACGCUGGCGGUAGGCCUAAUACAUGCAAGUCGAACGGCAGCACAGUAAGAGCUUGCUCCUACGGUUGGCGAGUGGCGGACGGGUGAGGAAUACAUCGGAAUCUACUUUUUCGUGGGGGAUAACGUAGGGAAACUUACGCUAAUACCGCAUACGAUCUACGGGUGAAAGCAGGGGAUCUUCGCACCUUGCGCGAUUGAAUGAGCCGAUGUCGGAUUAGCUAGUUGGCGGGGUAAAGGCCCACCAAGGCGACGAUCCGUAGCUGGUCUGAGAGGAUGAUCAGCCACACUGGAACUGAGACACGGUCCAGACUCCUACGGGAGGCAGCAGUGGGGAAUAUUGGACAAUGGGCGCAAGCCUGAUCCAGCCAUACCGCGUGAGUGAAGAAGGCCUUCGGGUUGUAAAGCCCUUUUGUUAGGAAAGAAAAGCAGCAGGUUAAUACCCCGCUGUUCUGACGGUACCCAAAGAAUAAGCACCGGCUAACUUCGUG